RNAcentral lists this transfer RNA (69 nucleotides) under Megaladapis edwardsi. Its description in RNAcentral is "tRNA-Phe". It matches the Rfam family "tRNA". From Rfam's summary of the family: Transfer RNA (tRNA) molecules are approximately 80 nucleotides in length. Their secondary structure includes four short double-helical elements and three loops (D, anti-codon, and T loops). Further hydrogen bonds mediate the characteristic L-shaped molecular structure. tRNAs have two regions of fundamental functional importance: the anti-codon, which is responsible for specific mRNA codon recognition, and the 3' end, to which the tRNAs corresponding amino acid is attached (by aminoacyl-tRNA synthetases). tRNAs cope with the degeneracy of the genetic code in two manners: having more than one tRNA (with a specific anti-codon) for a particular amino acid; and 'wobble' base-pairing, i.e. permitting non-standard base-pairing at the 3rd anti-codon position. Lineage: Eukaryota; Metazoa; Chordata; Mammalia; Primates; Lepilemuridae. The record is from RNAcentral.
GUUAAUGUAGCUUAAAUACCAAAGCAAGGCACUGAAAAUGCCUAGACGGAUUAGCAUAUCCCAUAAACA